GAGAGAGAAGAAAGGGAAGUGCAAAUGCAUAGCUAUAGGUGGUGUGGUUCUUUGCCCUCCACGGCCACAUCCACAACCGCAACCACCAUGAUUCGACUCCACGGUUGUGCUGUUUGCAGAGUGUCUCUCCUUCCCUCCCGCACCUCAGGUCUCCGCCAUAGUCCUUGACAUGCUUCUCAAUGCUUCUGCUUCUCCACAUUCUUUGUUCGAGGUUCUCAUCAUAUACACACGCCAUUUUCUUGUUUGGGGAGAACUGAUGAGGAUUGGGUGAUGAGGAUUGGGUUAUUAUUCUGAUAUUCAUCAGAUUUCUGUGUAGGCACCUGAUUUGCUUGAGCUCCUCUUUCAUAAAGAUUCCAACGUGCAGUGUAAGCAGCUAAGUUCCUCACUUUCCUUACAAAAUGCAAUAUGUGAACCUUCACUCAACCCAAGAAGCCAGUAUUCUAUAUUGUGUUUUUUUUUAUCCUUUUUUUUUAUUUAUACACGUGAUUUUUGUUUUUGUUUAAAUCCAUUUGAUUAUCAAAUACAUGGAGCUUGUUCAGGACUGAUGCCUCCUCUGCCUUCAAUGUGUUUAUAUACAGCUAGCAAUUUUACUUGUCACACACUGUCUUGCUUUUUCCCUUUAUAUUCAAAGAUGUUCAAUAUGUUGAUAACAGUGUUCUCGUUGGUGUUAUGAAGCAGAACUAAAGCGUGAAGAGAGAGAGCGGCAUCCUUUUAACCAGAGGGAGAAGCGCAUCCUUUAUCCUGUGGAAAUUAUUGAUGUACCUGCCGAUACAAAGGACAAAGAUGAGAUUCUUGAGAGUGAGUUCUUUGACACUAGUCAGGCAUUUCUGAGUCUCUGCCAGGGAAAUCAUUAUCAGUAUGAUACUCUAAGACGGGCCAAGCAUUCCUCUAUGAUGGUUCUCUAUCAUCUUCAUAAUCCAACUGCUCCUGCAUUUGUUACUACAUGUAACAUUUGUCGUCUUGACAUAGAAACAGGCCAAGGUUGGCGUUGUGAAGUGUGCUCUGAAUAUGAUGUGUGCAAUGCUUGCUAUCAAAAGGAUGGUGGCACGGAUCAUCCUCAUAAAUUGACAAAUCAUCCAUCAAUGGCAGAUCGUGAUGCUCUCAGAACAAGGAAGCUAGGCAACUACGAGUAUUACAGGUCUGAUGUGAAUGGAUUUCAUAAGGUCAGAGAUUUAAAAGAACACUUGAGGAGGUUGCUGUAAUGGAGAUGAUGAGGCAGAGAGCUGCAGAAGUUGCAAACAAUUCUGGAUCACCAUUUUUUAUACAUGUGGUUUUUCCCACUUUGAUAAAAUUCUAUAAUUUGUAAUAAUUAAUAUUGUAAAAUUAUGUACCUCAUAAAAGGAAACGCUUUUAAUAUAUAUUUUGGUAAAAAAAAA
Long non-coding RNA from Vigna unguiculata (cowpea), 1376 nucleotides. NCBI's taxonomy places the organism in Eukaryota, Viridiplantae, Streptophyta, Magnoliopsida, Fabales, Fabaceae. The record is from RefSeq and is a predicted model, not a curated record.